RNAcentral lists this unclassified non-coding RNA (200 nucleotides) under Pluteus sp. Its description in RNAcentral is "partial internal transcribed spacer 2". Lineage: Eukaryota; Fungi; Basidiomycota; Agaricomycetes; Agaricales; Pluteaceae. The record is from RNAcentral.
UUAAGUUCAGCGGGUAGUCCUACCUGAUUUGAGGUCAAGUGGUCAAAUAAGUUGUCCGCGCUGGCAGACGGCUGUAAGCUGGGUGAAUGUGACCGCGCCGAGUGUAGAUAACUAUCACACAAGGCUGCAGAUCGCACAAGAUGAGCCCCUGCUAAUGCUUUUCAGAGGAGCCGGGUCCCGGAGAGGGCCAGCAGAACCUC